UACGGAGGAUGCGAGCGUUAUCCGGAUUUAUUGGGUUUAAAGGGUGCGUAGGCGGAUCGUUAAGUCAGUGGUCAAAUUGAGGGGCUCAACCCCUUCCCGCCAUUGAAACUGGCGCUCUUGAGUGGAAGAGAAGUAUGCGGAAUGCGUGGUGUAGCGGUGAAAUGCAUAGAUAUCACGCAGAACCCCGAUUGCGAAGGCAGCAUGCCGGCUUCCGACUGACGCUGAAGCACGAAAGCGUGGGGAUAGAACAGG
This 252-nucleotide ribosomal RNA is filed under the name uncultured bacterium. RNAcentral describes it as "partial 16S ribosomal RNA". It matches the Rfam family "Bacterial small subunit ribosomal RNA", at positions 524 to 776 of the family's 1533-position model. The record is from RNAcentral.